Molecule: ribosomal RNA, 488 nt
Filed under: uncultured bacterium
Lineage: Bacteria
Description: bacterial SSU rRNA
Rfam family: Bacterial small subunit ribosomal RNA
Source: RNAcentral
GAUGAACGCUAGCGGCAGGCCUAAUACAUGCAAGUCGAACGGAUAUAUGUUUUUCGGAAUAUAUAUUAGUGGCGCACGGGUGAGUAACACGUACAUAACUUGCCCUCAAGCGGGGGAUAGCCUUGGGAAACUGAGAGUAAUACCCCAUAGAAUUAUUGGACGGCAUCGUUUGAUAAUUAAAACUACGGUGCUUGGGGAUAGAUGUGCGUCUGAUUAGCUAGUUGGUGAGGUAACUGCUCACCAAGGCGACGAUCAGUAGGGGGCGUGAGAGCGUGGCCCCCCACACGGGUACUGAGACACGGACCCGACUCCUACGGGAGGCAGCAGUAAGGAAUAUUGGUCAAUGGAGGGAACUCUGAACCAGCCAUGCCGCGUGAGUGAUGAAGGCCUUAGGGUUGUAAAGCUCUUUUACCAGGGAUGAUAAUGACAGUACCUGGAGAAUAAGCUCCGGCUAACUCCGUGCCAGCAGCCGCGGUAAAGUAGUCGUG